Molecule: long non-coding RNA, 1278 nt
Organism: Podarcis raffonei (Aeolian wall lizard)
Lineage: Eukaryota; Metazoa; Chordata; Lepidosauria; Squamata; Lacertidae
Exons: 2
Source: RefSeq, a predicted model, not a curated record
UGCAUCUUUGAUUUACUUAUGGAAAGAGUAAACAGGACAGUUGGUUACAGCACGGUGCUGAUAAUGCCAAGGUUACACGUUCAAUCUCCGUAUAGGACAGCUACAACUUUCUGUAUUGCAGGGGGUUGGGGUAGAUGAUCUCUAGGGUCACUUCCCUUGAGUUCAGAAGAUUGUGCUUCUAGGGGACCUUGGCUCACUUCGCCUGGGCCACGGCUGUUUGAUGGAACCGAAUUUUCCAAUACAAUCAAAUCUCGGUUCUCGAACGGCUCCGUUUUCUAAUGUUUUGGCUCCCAAACGCCAAAAAACUGGAAGUAAAUGCUCUGGUUUUCGAAUAUUUUUUGGAACCCGAACAUCUGACGCGGCUUCUGCUUGAGUGCAAGAAGUUCUUGCAACCAAUUAAAAGCCACGCCUCAGUUGUCAAACAUUUUGGAAGUCGAACGGUCUUCUGGAAUGGAUUCAUGUUUGACAGCCAAGGUUUGACUGUAGUUACUUUCAUGCUGACUGCAAGAUGGAGCCAGUCAGGCGGAAGGUAGGCAUUAUGUAAAAUUGCAAGGAUAAGACAGGUUGCAAGUCGCAGAGUUGCUGCCAUCAUGGUGAUAUUGGCUCCUCUGACAGUGGUCCUGGCCACAUCUGGACACCCAAUUUCCAGCUCCAGCAUUUGUCCCAAUUCACUAACCUCUCUAGGUCAGACUACAACACGUUAUAUGUGGGAUUGCCUCUGAAGAAAGUUCAGCUGAUGCAGAAUUUGGCAGCCAGGUUGCUCACUGGAGUAAGAUGGUUUGAGCAUAUUACACCCAUCCUGGCUCAACUGCACUGGCUGCCAAGUAGUUUCUGGGCCCAAUUCAAAGUGCUGGUUUUGACUUAUAAAGCCCUGAACUGUUCUGGACCACAAUAUCUCAUGGACCACCCAUCCCCACAUAAACAGUUCAUCAUCUGAGACCCUUCUUUGUGUGCCUAUUCCAUGAGAGGUCAGGAGGGUGGCAACAUGAGAACGGGCCUUUUCUGCAGUGGCUCAUUUGUGCACAUUUGUGGAAUGCCCUCCCCAGGGAGGUUCGGCUGGUGCCUUCAUUAUACAUCUUUAGGCACCAGGCAGAAACGGUUCUCUUUUACCAGGCCUUUGGCUAAUUAAACAAUCUGUGGCUUUUAAACGUGGGGUGGGGUGAUAGUUUUUGUCUCUUACUAUGUUACGUAUUUUUGUGUUUUUAUAUUGUAAAACUGCCCUGUGAUCCUUGGAUGAAAGGCAGUAUAGAAAACAAUAAUAAAUAAUAAAACCUCAAA